UACGAAGGGUGCAAGCGUUACUCGGAAUUACUGGGCGUAAAGCGUGCGUAGGCGGUUUGUUAAGUCCGUUGUGAAAGCCCUGGGCUCAACCUGGGAAUUGCAGUGGAUACUGGCGAGCUAGAGUGCGGUAGAGGAUGGUGGAAUUCCCGGUGUAGCGGUGAAAUGCGUAGAGAUCGGGAGGAACACCCGUGGCGAAGGCGGCCAUCUGGACCAGCACUGACGCUGAGGCACGAAAGCGUGGGGAGCAAAGCAGGG
This 255-nucleotide ribosomal RNA is filed under the name uncultured bacterium. RNAcentral describes it as "partial 16S ribosomal RNA". It matches the Rfam family "Bacterial small subunit ribosomal RNA", at positions 524 to 778 of the family's 1533-position model. The record is from RNAcentral.